Molecule: ribosomal RNA, 497 nt
Filed under: uncultured bacterium
Lineage: Bacteria
Description: partial 16S ribosomal RNA
Rfam family: Bacterial small subunit ribosomal RNA
Source: RNAcentral
GAUGAACGCUGGCGGCGUGCCUAAUACAUGCAAGUCGAGCGAACAGACGAGGAGCUUGCUCCUCUGACGUUAGCGGCGGACGGGUGAGUAACACGUGGAUAACCUACCUAUAAGACUGGGAUAACUUCGGGAAACCGGAGCUAAUACCGGAUAAUAUAUUGAACCGCAUGGUUCAAUAGUUAAAGACGGUUUUGCUGUCACUUAUAGAUGGAUCCGCGCCGCAUUAGCUAGUUGGUAAGGUAACGGCUUACCAAGGCAACGAUGCGUAGCCGACCUGAGAGGGUGGUCGGCCACACUGGAACUGAGACACGGUCCAGACUCCUACGGGAGGCAGCAGUAGGGAAUCUUCCGCAAUGGGCGAAAGCGUGACGGAGCAACGCCGCGUGAGUGAUGAAGGUCUUCGGAUCGUAAAACUCUGUUAUUAGGGAAGAACAAAUGUGUAAGUAACUAUGCACGUCUUGACGGUACCUAAUCAGAAAGCCACGGCUAACUACGUG